UACGGGGGGGGCAAGCGUUGUUCGGAAUUACUGGGCGUAAAGGGCGCGUAGGCGGUUCGUUAAGUCCUGUGUGAAAUCCCCCGGCUCAACUGGGGAACUGCACAGGAAACUAGCGGGCUUGAGUUCGGGAGAGGGAAGCGGAAUUCCGGGUGUAGCGGUGAAAUGCGUAGAUAUCUGGAGGAACACCGGUGGCGAAGGCGGCAUCCUGGACCGGUAUUGACGCUGAGGCGCGAAAGCCAGGGGAGCAAACGGG
RNAcentral lists this ribosomal RNA (253 nucleotides) under uncultured bacterium. Its description in RNAcentral is "partial 16S ribosomal RNA". It matches the Rfam family "Bacterial small subunit ribosomal RNA", at positions 524 to 776 of the family's 1533-position model. The record is from RNAcentral.